UCCAUCUGCUGCUCUGGAGGCCGAAACCAAGAAAUCUGGUAAACUGGGCCUGUUCAGCCCAUAGCUGAUAGAGCGACGCGGAGAGGGAUCGACCAAAGGCGAUGCGGAUACAGAGAAGAGGGAGAGAUCGAGCCAAGGCGAUGUGAGGCGCGGGAUUCAAUCGACCGGAGUUGGAGGCACGCGCUGGGAUCGAGCGGAGGCACCCACCACCCAUCGCCGGGACGUCGGCUUCUCCCUUCCCUCAGGCCCUCCCUGCACCCAUCCACCCAUCCACCCCCGGUGGCUCCAGGAGGGGCAUCACAACCGCAGGCACCGGCGGCGGCAUGCCAUCCACACCGCGCUCGCGCAUCACCGGCGGCCCCUUCAGGUCUGAGCGCAACUUGCCGCCGUCGGCCAGGCCGGGCCUCUCCUUCCACUGGUCCCAAGAUCCGCCGACACCAACCCCGUCGUCCAGCGCCGGGUGCCCAAGAUCAGCAUGCCUCCUCCCAAUGCGAGUUUCACUUGGAAUUUUGUUUUCUGCUGGCUGUAGGAUGAAUGUGAAUUUCGUUUGCCGGAAAUACAUCUAUUUUGUUCGUGUUUUGACAAGCGAUUUUUUCAUUCAGUAAAAUGUCUUUUUUCACAAGAGAUGGAUAAAUAGGCCGAUAUAUACAUGCAAACAGUACAGUUCUGGGAAACUACUACUACUAAUGAAUGUUUAAUAUCAUCUGCACAAGGUUGCUUCAUAGAUCUUUUUUUUUCAGAAUCUUCACACAUCUUUUUGGUCUAAUGUAUACUUGCAGGUUUAUCUAGAUGAAAAUAGUCUUUCAAUAUUAGGCUGAUGCUUCAACUAAGCAUGUCUCUUUUUCAAUCUAUAGCGAAUAUCAUCUGACACUACUUUCCUACUAACAGGUAUUUUCAUAUGGCCGAAAGAAUCAGCCGCUAGAGAUUUAAGAAACUGUUCAACUGCGCAAUUUUUGGUUACGCCUUUUUCAAUUAGUUUUGAACUUUAAAUCCCUGUUGAAUGUAUGUAUAUUAAUGUUUAGUGCACAAAAUUCGAGGGGUUUAACUUUUUCCCUUGCACUUCCUAGCGACCCAGACCAGCGCCAUGGCAACGAGCGUGUCCCUCCUACCCCGACCUUCAACUUGAGGGGCAGAUCCCACCACGACUUGGUGGCGCCGCUGGUGGAACCGGCGUCCCUAAGCGAGCAAUCGUCCAGAUGGCCGUCACACUUCCUCCCAGCAGAGAGGAAGAAAGGAGCUGAUUGCAGGGCACUAAAAUAUUUCUUCGGCCAAAGCUCCGUGAUCGCUUACACAGUUACACACGUAUAUUAUCCAUGUAGUAUGGGUUAUCUGGGAUCAGUUACAACAUGGCACUUGGAUAUUGUUCAUAAAGGUGGCAUAAUUUGUCAAUUUAAUAUACUUCCAUCUCACUGUGUUGAUUUACUCAUGCUAUUUUGAUGACGAUGACAUCAAUGCCAAUUCAUAUCUAUGCAAGGCAUCAGUGCUUGAUGAUA
This is a long non-coding RNA of Aegilops tauschii subsp. strangulata, 1493 nucleotides long. RefSeq lists it as uncharacterized. NCBI's taxonomy places the organism in Eukaryota, Viridiplantae, Streptophyta, Magnoliopsida, Poales, Poaceae. The record is from RefSeq and is a predicted model, not a curated record.